RNAcentral lists this ribosomal RNA (427 nucleotides) under uncultured bacterium. RNAcentral describes it as "bacterial SSU rRNA". It matches the Rfam family "Bacterial small subunit ribosomal RNA", at positions 355 to 775 of the family's 1533-position model. The record is from RNAcentral.
UCGAGAAUCAUUCACAAUGGGCGAAAGCCUGAUGGUGUGACGCCGCGUGGAGGAUGACGGUCUUCGGAUUGUAAACUCCUGUCAUGAGAGAGUAAAGCCGGGGGUUAACUGCCCGCCGGUCUGAGAGUAUCUCAAGAGGAAGAGACGGCUAACUCUGUGCCAGCAGCCGCGGUAAUACAGAGGUCUCAAGCGUUGUUCGGAAUCACUGGGCGUAAAGGGUGCGUAGGCGGCGCGGAAAGUCAGGGGUGAAAUCCCGGAGCUCAACUCCGGAACUGCCUUUGAUACUCCCGUGCUUGAGUGCUGGAGAGGAGUUCGGAAUUCACGGUGGAGCAGUGAAAUGCGUGGAUAUCGUGAGGAACACUAGUGGCGAAGGCGGAACUCUGGACAGUCACUGACGCUGAGGCACGAAGGCCAGGGGAGCAAACGG